CAUCAAAUGUGUCAACCAUUUCAAUUGUAUCUACUCCCACCCGACGUAAAUGAGUAAAGCAACCUCGAAGUAUGAAAAAAAAAUUGGAAUAAAUACUCAUCACUCCAAAUGGUAAUCUUAUAGGUAAGCUUGAAAGAGUCUAACUCCACUACCAUAAAGAGACUAAAGAUAACUCGAAUUGUUCUUCCCCUUUUUUCCAGUUUUUCUCUUUGUACAUGCAUUCCAUCAGUUACUUCUGAAAGUUAUUUCCUUGACUUACUAUCUGUAGAUAGGAUACAAAUCGUAGAUCAGCCACAUAGAUGUGAUGUACAUUUUCUGGUUUACUCGAUUAGCUACUAUACUUCGGACAAUGAGGGUUGGUUCAGUGGCGGAAACUCAGACUUGGUUGGACAAGGCCCUGUAGCCCCUUAUUGGGGCUAAAGAUACUCUCUAACACCACCCACGAGUGGUGAGACCUUAGCUUGGAUCCUGAUGCAGGUGCAGUGGGUCCCUAUAGACAGUGGUGGUGUGACGGGCAAAUACUCCCGUCAAGAAAGUGACGGCUACUUUCAUUUUAUGUAUUUAAAAAAAUUACUAAAUUUCGGAAAUAGUAAGUACUGUUUAUUCUUUCUUGGCAAAGAAACAAAGAGUAGAGUGAAAUUCCCCAAAAGAACAUAGAAGAAAUGCAAUCAUUUGAAGACUUCUGCGUGUGUGUGUGUGUGUGUGCGAGAGAGAGAGAGAGAGAGACCAAGUCGAGAGCUUUUACGCGAGAAUUGGGUGGAGGGAGAUGGGCGGCGGUCAGAAGCGGCGAAGUCAGGGCGGAGGAGUAGGGAGGAGCAAAGGACGAUCCCC
Rhododendron vialii is the source of this 831-nucleotide long non-coding RNA. RefSeq lists it as uncharacterized. Lineage: Eukaryota; Viridiplantae; Streptophyta; Magnoliopsida; Ericales; Ericaceae. The record is from RefSeq and is a predicted model, not a curated record. The transcript has 2 exons.